AAGUCGAGCGGAUGACGGGAGCUUGCUCCUUGAUUCAGCGGCGGACGGGUGAGUAAUGCCUAGGAAUCUGCCUGGUAGUGGGGGACAACGUUUCGAAAGGAACGCUAAUACCGCAUACGUCCUACGGGAGAAAGCAGGGGACCUUCAGGCCUUGCGCUAUCAGAUGAGCCUAGGUCGGAUUAGCUAGUUGGUGAGGUAAUGGCUCACCAAGGCGACGAUCCGUAACUGGUCUGAGAGGAUGAUCAGUCACACUGGAACUGAGACACGGUCCAGACUCCUACGGGAGGCAGCAGUGGGGAAUAUUGGACAAUGGGCGAAAGCCUGAUCCAGCCAUGCCGCGUGUGUGAAGAAGGUCUUCGGAUUGUAAAGCACUUUAAGUUGGGAGGAAGGGCAGUAAGCUAAUACCUUGCUGUUUUGACGUUACCGACAGAAUAAGCACCGGCUAACUCUGUGCCAGCAGCCGCGGUAAUACAGAGGGUGCAAGCGUUAAUCGGAAUUACUGGGCGUAAAGCGCGCGUAGGUGGUUCGUUAAGUUGGAUGUGAAAGCCCCGGGCUCAACCUGGGAACUGCAUCCAAAACUGGCGAGCUAGAGUACGGUAGAGGGUGGUGGAAUUUCCUGUGUAGCGGUGAAAUGCGUAUAUAUAGGAAGGAACACCAAUGGCGAAGGCGACCACCUGGACUGAUACUGACACUGAGGUGCGAAAGCGUGGGGAGCAAACACGAUUAGAUACCCUGGUAGUCCACGCCGUAAACGAUGUCAACUAGCCGUUGGAUCCUUGACAUUUUAGUGGCGCAGCUAACGCAUUAAGUUGACCGCCUGGGGAGUACGGCCGCAGGUUAAACUCAAUGAAUGACAGGGCCGCACACCGUGAGCAUGUGUUUAAUUUAACACGCGAAA
Molecule: ribosomal RNA, 898 nt
Filed under: Pseudomonas plecoglossicida
Lineage: Bacteria; Pseudomonadati; Pseudomonadota; Gammaproteobacteria; Pseudomonadales; Pseudomonadaceae
Description: bacterial SSU rRNA
Rfam family: Bacterial small subunit ribosomal RNA
Source: RNAcentral